GACGAACGCUGGCGGCGUGCCUAAUACAUGCAAGUUGAGCGAUGAAGAUUGGUGCUUGCACCAAUUUGAAGAGCAGCGAACGGGUGAGUAACGCGUGGGGAAUCUGCCUUUGAGCGGGGGACAACAUUUGGAAACGAAUGCUAAUACCGCAUAAUAACUUUAAACAUAAGUUUUAAGUUUGAAAGAUGCAAUUGCAUCACUCAAAGAUGAUCCCGCGUUGUAUUAGCUAGUUGGUGAGGUAAAGGCUCACCAAGGCGAUGAUACAUAGCCGACCUGAGAGGGUGAUCGGCCACAUUGGGACUGAGACACGGCCCAAACUCCUACGGGAGGCAGCAGUAGGGAAUCUUCGGCAAAGGACGAAAGUCUGACCGAGCAACGCCGCGUGAGUGAAGAAGGUUUUCGGAUCGUAAAACUCUGUUGGUAGAGAAGAACGUUGGUGAGAGUGGAAAGCUCAUCAAGUGACGGUAACUACCCAGAAAGGGACGGCUAACUACGUG
RNAcentral lists this ribosomal RNA (497 nucleotides) under uncultured bacterium. RNAcentral describes it as "partial 16S ribosomal RNA". It matches the Rfam family "Bacterial small subunit ribosomal RNA", at positions 28 to 507 of the family's 1533-position model. The record is from RNAcentral.